UUGGGACAGCCUUCGGCGCGCCGCUGUGACGUAAUCGGCCUUAAAAUGCAGCCUUUGAGGCUGCAGACCCUGAAUUGGGAUACAGCCGUCGGAAUUGACCGGAGAAGGCACUGCUCUGGCCUGCACCACGGUUAGUAUAAGGCACAUUUUACGAAGCAAAACGCAGUCUUCAGAGAUCUCUACGUGAACACUGUGAUACGUCUGACCUUCAGUCCAAAGCAGAAACCCAGACCAGUCUUAAAAGAAAGCACAAACCAAAUCCCCUGUACACAUAUACGGACUCAGAGGAUGAGCACCGUACUCGAGACCCU
Oreochromis aureus is the source of this 311-nucleotide long non-coding RNA. RefSeq lists it as uncharacterized. NCBI's taxonomy places the organism in Eukaryota, Metazoa, Chordata, Actinopteri, Cichliformes, Cichlidae. The record is from RefSeq and is a predicted model, not a curated record. The transcript has 3 exons.